Molecule: ribosomal RNA, 353 nt
Filed under: uncultured bacterium
Lineage: Bacteria
Description: bacterial SSU rRNA
Rfam family: Bacterial small subunit ribosomal RNA
Source: RNAcentral
GACGAACGCUGGCGGCGUGCUUAAUACAUGCAAGUCAACUGAACUUAGGAUAGCAAUAUUUUAAGGGAGGUGGCGCACGGGUGAGUAACACGUAGGUAAUCUGCCUUUAGGUCUGACAUAACCUACCGAAAGGUAGGCUAAAAUCAGAUGAUGCAGCGGCUCGACAUCGAGACAGUUGUUAAAUCUUCGGAGCCUAAAGAUGAGCCUGCGUCUGAUUAGGUAGUUGGCGGUGUAAUGGACCACCAAGCCUGCGAUCAGUAGCUGGUCUGAGAGGAUGAUCAGCCACACGUGGAACUGAGACACGGUCCAGACUCCGUACGGGAGGCAGCAAGGUAAGGAAUUAUUCGCUACAA